Molecule: ribosomal RNA, 949 nt
Filed under: Enterococcus faecium
Lineage: Bacteria; Bacillati; Bacillota; Bacilli; Lactobacillales; Enterococcaceae
Description: bacterial SSU rRNA
Rfam family: Bacterial small subunit ribosomal RNA
Source: RNAcentral
UUUUAUGAGAGUUUGAUCCUGGCUCAGGACGAACGCUGGCGGCGUGCCUAAUACAUGCAAGUCGAACGCUUCUUUUUCCACCGGAGCUUGCUCCACCGGAAAAAGAGGAGUGGCGAACGGGUGAGUAACACGUGGGUAACCUGCCCAUCAGAAGGGGAUAACACUUGGAAACAGGUGCUAAUACCGUAUAACAAUCAAAACCGCAUGGUUUUGAUUUGAAAGGCGCUUUCGGGUGUCGCUGAUGGAUGGACCCGCGGUGCAUUAGCUAGUUGGUGAGGUAACGGCUCACCAAGGCCACGAUGCAUAGCCGACCUGAGAGGGUGAUCGGCCACAUUGGGACUGAGACACGGCCCAAACUCCUACGGGAGGCAGCAGUAGGGAAUCUUCGGCAAUGGACGAAAGUCUGACCGAGCAACGCCGCGUGAGUGAAGAAGGUUUUCGGAUCGUAAAACUCUGUUGUUAGAGAAGAACAAGGAUGAGAGUAACUGUUCAUCCCUUGACGGUAUCUAACCAGAAAGCCACGGCUAACUACGUGCCAGCAGCCGCGGUAAUACGUAGGUGGCAAGCGUUGUCCGGAUUUAUUGGGCGUAAAGCGAGCGCAGGCGGUUUCUUAAGUCUGAUGUGAAAGCCCCCGGCUCAACCGGGGAGGGUCAUUGGAAACUGGGAGACUUGAGUGCAGAAGAGGAGAGUGGAAUUCCAUGUGUAGCGGUGAAAUGCGUAGAUAUAUGGAGGAACACCAGUGGCGAAGGCGGCUCUCUGGUCUGUAACUGACGCUGAGGCUCGAAAGCGUGGGGAGCAAACAGGAUUAGAUACCCUGGUAGUCCACGCCGUAAACGAUGAGUGCUAAGUGUUGGAGGGUUUCCGCCCUUCAGUGCUGCAGCUAACGCAUUAAGCACUCCGCCUGGGGAGUACGACCGCAAGGUUGAAACUCAAAGGAAUUGACGGGGGC